CCUACGGGAGGCAGCAGUGGGGGAUAUUGCACAAUGGGGGAAACCCUGAUGCAGCGACGCCGCGUGGGCGAAGAAGCGCCUCGGCGCGUAAAGCCCUGUCAGCAGGGAAGAAAAAGACGGUACCCGAAGUAGAAGCCCCGGCUAAAUACGUGCCAGCCGCCGCGGUAAUUAGUAGGGGGCCAGCGUUAUCCGGAUUUACUGGGUGUAAAGGGGGCGCAGACGGCGAGGCAAGCCAGGAGUGAAAGCCCGGGGCGCAACCCCGGGACUGCCUUUGGAACUGCGUGGCUAGAGUGCAGGAGGGGCAGGCGGAAUUCCUGGUGUAGCGGUGAAAUGCGUAGAUAUCAGGAGGAACACCGGUGGCGAAGGCGGCCUGCUGGACUGCAACUGACGUUGAGGCCCGAAAGCGUGGGGAGCAAACAGGAUUAGAUACCCGGGUAGUC
Molecule: ribosomal RNA, 440 nt
Filed under: uncultured bacterium
Lineage: Bacteria
Description: partial 16S ribosomal RNA
Rfam family: Bacterial small subunit ribosomal RNA
Source: RNAcentral